CAUAUAUAAUAACAGAGUGUAUAGAGAUAAAUGUCACAAUAUAAUCAGAGUACUUAUUACAUGGCGGAAGUCUUACAAAAUAAAAGAUAAAUAUAACAGGAUCUAAAAUCCAUCCUUGGCGCCAGAAAGUCAACUGGGAGACGCCACCUAGAUCGAAUCGAACUCCUUGAUAUGAUGCUCCACUUGAACCACCUGUUCUUCUCCUGUGGGGGGGUGUGAGACAGCAAGAGUGAGCUCACAUACGUUCAUCGCUCAACAAGUUGUGGGGAAUAAUGUGCAUGAACUCGCCAAAGGUGGGAGCUCAUGAAGUGUAAGGCUUAUCAAAGAAAAUGGUUAAAGCUGAGCAUUGCUUUUAAUGUUGGUCAAACUUUUAUUAGCAAUUACUAGGUGUAAGUGAAUACCAAACCUUAAUAAAAGUAAUAGAACAAAAUUAAUAAAUAAUCCCAUGCAAAUGCAAAUGACAAAUUGAAUUUAGGUUCCAUAAUUUAAUCAUGUGAGGGUCCGAGCUGCUCAUGACCGUGAGCACGGCUAGUAUACUAGUUUUACACUCUGCAGAGGUUGCACAUCUUUACCCACAAGCCGUGUUACCCAUCUACCAAGGGGUCAUGAGUCCCAUACACCUCUACCGAGGAGGCGAGGCAGGGUAACACUACGAGGCCUUUACAAAGUUCCACUAGCUUCAGAAAUCCCGCUACAGUUUAUAGGAAGCUCCAAUGCAGGAAUCCCUUGAAGGACCGCCAUCGCAGCAAAAUCCUCCCGAGGGCCUCCCUACACUGACCACUCCCCUACUGCCCUUGCCCCUUUCGGGUAAGGAAGACCUCCACUAGCUUUCCUAGUUAAUCAGCCAAGGGCGUCCCAUUAAACCCUUGUGGUAGCACUGUUUUCCCGGGUGGUCGCUCCAUGUUCCAAUUAACAUAAUGAUCUUAUCAUGAACAUAAAUAACAUAACAGAAUAAUUGGAACAUGGAUGUAAUGAAAUAUUAACCCGAAAACCAUAUAAAGCAAUAGCAUAACUACCCAAUUGAUUCAGGGGUAAACAAGGUAAACAGGAUAAACAAACUAGGGUAACCUAUUGGGUCCCAUCAAAAUUAACCUAUGCAGAUCAUUAUGAUUAAUUAGAACAUGAGUGGGUAAAAAGAAGUGAUCAAGGGCACAACUUGCCUGGCACUUGAGAUUCCAGUUACCAGGGUGAUUCUUCAGAUUUCUCGUGACCGCACUGCUAGUCGUUGCAAUACAAACAAACAUGGUAUAGACAAAAUUAACAUCACACCAAACACAAGUACAAACUGAAUAAGAAUAUUCUACGCAUUGCUACGAGAUCGUGGGAACGAGAACCACUAAGAUCGGAGUUAUGACUAAGGAGUUAUGAUUUUAUAGAAGAUUCAUGUGAUUAGAAUAUUAAACUAUAUCAUAAUUUGGUUAAUAUAAAUCAUAUGAGAGGUUAUUCUCUAAAUAACUAUCUACACUUUAAUCCACAUUAUAAUUUGACCUUAUAUCAUAUUUUAGUAUAUUAUAAUGGUGAGUAGAUUAACAAGACUAACCAACAUAAAUUAAAUAAAGAUCUAAUUAUAAAUGGAUGAGACAUGGUAUAAUCAAUGUUGUUAAUGUGUAGUAAAUAUUCAUACGAUACUAACGCAACUGGAACGGAUCAAAUCGGAGUUUUAGAUUUGAAGUUAUGAAUUUCUAAAGAUUAUAUGUGUCUUGCACAAGAUUAAAUAGGAUCUAAAUUUUAAUGUGAUUUUCAUGUCCAAACAGAGACACUAGAUGAUAAACAAUAAUAUUACAAAAUUAUAAAAUUUGGAAUGGAUUAAUUUGGACAUCAUAUGAAUUUUCUAUGAAUUAAACAAAUUCUAGCAUCUAUUUUUACAUUAAAAAUCAUUUCCUAAUUACUUUCACUGGGUUUUAUAAAUCUCCGGACUGGGCACACUAAUAUUAGGAAGUGCAGGGGCCUGGCGCAAAGUGCACCAAGACACAGAGAACCCAGGGAUAGAUCGCGGGUUGAAUAGCAAGUUUUCCGGGGUCUCUUUUAGAAGUUUGCUCGGCUGAAUCUAUCCGGGCGAGUAUGAGCCGUCAGAUCCCGAUCUGACGGAUCCGUUAUAACGACGAAGGGGUACGCGCUAUUGACCGUCGAUCCUGAGAUCCACGAUCACGAAGCCCUGACUGAACCGGUAUGCAAGGCGCGAUCACAGCCGUUAGUGACCAGAUCAACGGACAAGGCGCACCUCCUACCUCCGCUCUAAUCCUGCCCGCUAGUGGUCGAUCCAAUGGCCAGGAGGCCAUUGCCUUCCACGGUCCGAAGAUAGCGGCGCACGCAGCACCCAUGGCGGCGCCCGCCCUGCGACCGAACCUCGCCGGUGCAGCCCACCCGGCGAUUACGUGCCCUAAUCCCAAAUUAAACUGAUACAGAGCGAAGAGGAAGGUUGCGCGAACACGGUGGACGGGUACUCACCGGAGAUGGCGUACGGUGGAGGUCGGUCCGCGGUGAGCAGCGGGUUGGCGGGGCCGUAGAACUCCGAUAAGGGCUUCUCUAACGCUAUAGCUCCCCCGGAGCUCGCGGAUCCCACAGGCACACAAAGGGCACCCUGUGGAUGGCCCCCCGACCUCUUCAAAUGAUCCCCGCGACGGUAUAUGGAUGCAAUGGCGGUAGCGGCUGGAGAAGCGUGCAAUCCGGCGACGAAUUCCCAGAUCACCGACCGCCAAACCACCGCCGCGAGGCCACUGAAGACCCUGGCGGGCGACCAAGAUCACCCGCGACGAGCCCAAGUACCUCACACCCUCUCGUCGGUGGUAUUUAUGCCGAUGGCGGAACUCAAAACCCGAUUUCAAUUCCAGCACCCAUUCAAUCCUUCCCCUUGGUGUUGCUUUCCUGGGCUAGG
RNAcentral lists this long non-coding RNA (2875 nucleotides) under Zea mays. RNAcentral's name for it is "long non-coding RNA (ZMAY_LNC004071)". The record is from RNAcentral. Lineage: Eukaryota; Viridiplantae; Streptophyta; Magnoliopsida; Poales; Poaceae.